GACGAACGCUGGCGGCGUGCUUAACACAUGCGAGUCGAACGGAAAGGCCCUUCGGGGUACUCGAGUGGCGAACGGGUGAGUAACACGUGGGUGAUCUGCCCUGCACUUUGGGAUAAGCCUGGGAAACUGGGUCUAAUACCGAAUAGGACCACGCGCUUCAUGGUGUGUGGUGGAAAGCUUUUGCGGUGUGGGAUGGGCCCGCGGCCUAUCAGCUUGUUGGUGGGGUAAUGGCCUACCAAGGCGACGACGGGUAGCCGGCCUGAGAGGGUGACCGGCCACACUGGGACUGAGAUACGGCCCAGACUCCUACGGGAGGCAGCAGUGGGGAAUAUUGCACAAUGGGCGCAAGCCUGAUGCAGCGACGCCGCGUGAGGGAUGACGGCCUUCGGGUUGUAAACCUCUUUCAAUAGGGACGAAGCGCAAGUGACGGUACCUAUAGAAGAAGCACCGGCCAACUACGUGCCAGCAGCCGCGGUAAUACGUAGGGUGCGAGCGUUGUCCGGAAUUACUGGGCGUAAAGAGCUCGUAGGUGGUUUGUCGCGUUGUUCGUGAAAACUCACAGCUUAACUGUGGGCGUGCGGGCGAUACGGGCAGACUAGAGUACUGCAGGGGAGACUGGAAUUCCUGGUGUAGCGGUGGAAUGCGCAGAUAUCAGGAGGAACACCGGUGGCGAAGGCGGGUCUCUGGGCAGUAACUGACGCUGAGGAGCGAAAGCGUGGGGAGCGAACAGGAUUAGAUACCCUGGUAGUCCACGCCGUAAACGGUGGGUACUAGGUGUGGGUUCCUUCCUUGGGAUCCGUGCCGUAGCUAACGCAUUAAGUACCCCGCCUGGGGAGUACGGCCGCAAGGCUAAAACUCAAAGGAAUUGACGGGGGCCCGCACAAGCGGCGGAGCAUGUGGAUUAAUUCGAUGCAACGCGAAGAACCUUACCUGGGUUUGACAUGCACAGGACGCCGGCAGAGAUGUCGGUUCCCUUGUGGCCUGUGUGCAGGUGGUGCAUGGCUGUCGUCAGCUCGUGUCGUGAGAUGUUGGGUUAAGUCCCGCAACGAGCGCAACCCUUGUCCUAUGUUGCCAGCGGGUUAUGCCGGGGACUCGUAGGAGACUGCCGGGGUCAACUCGGAGGAAGGUGGGGAUGACGUCAAGUCAUCAUGCCCCUUAUGUCCAGGGCUUCACACAUGCUACAAUGGCCGGUACAAAGGGCUGCGAUGCCGUGAGGUGGAGCGAAUCCUUUCAAAGCCGGUCUCAGUUCGGAUCGGGGUCUGCAACUCGACCCCGUGAAGUCGGAGUCGCUAGUAAUCGCAGAUCAGCAACGCUGCGGUGAAUACGUUCCCGGGCCU
This 1337-nucleotide ribosomal RNA is filed under the name uncultured bacterium. RNAcentral describes it as "bacterial SSU rRNA". It matches the Rfam family "Bacterial small subunit ribosomal RNA", at positions 28 to 1381 of the family's 1533-position model. The record is from RNAcentral.